UUGGAGGGCAAGUCUGGUGCCAGCAGCCGCGGUAAUUCCAGCUCCAAUAGCGUAUAUUAAAGUUGUUGCAGUUAAAAAGCUCGUAGUUGAAUUUCGGGAUCGAUGGGUCGGUCAUGCCCUCGGUAUGUACUGAUCCCAUUGGUUCUCACCUUCUAAGGAACCAUGAUGUCAUUCGGUUGAUGUUGUGGGGAAUUAGGACUGUUACCUUGAAAAAAUUAGAGUGUUUAAAGCAAGCUUACGCUUGAAUACAUUAGCAUGGAAUAAUGAAAUAGGACAUCAGAUUCUAUUUUGUUGGUUUCUAGGAUCGAUGUAAUGAUUAAUAGGGAUAGUUGGGGGCAUUAGUAUUCAAUUGUCAGAGGUGAAAUUCUUGGAUUUAUUGAAGACUAACUACUGCGAAAGCAUUUGCCAAGGAUGUUUUCAUUAAUCAAGAACGAAAGUUAGGGGAUCGAAGACGAUCAGAUACCGUCGUAGUCUUAACCAUAAACUAUGCCGACUAGGGAUCGGAUGAUGUUAAUUUUUUAAUGACUCAUUCGGCGCCUUACGGGAAAC
RNAcentral lists this ribosomal RNA (549 nucleotides) under uncultured Glomus. Its description in RNAcentral is "SSU rRNA". It matches the Rfam family "Eukaryotic small subunit ribosomal RNA", at positions 548 to 1098 of the family's 1831-position model. The record is from RNAcentral. Lineage: Eukaryota; Fungi; Glomeromycota; Glomeromycetes; Glomerales; Glomeraceae.